RNAcentral lists this ribosomal RNA (253 nucleotides) under uncultured bacterium. RNAcentral describes it as "partial 16S ribosomal RNA". It matches the Rfam family "Bacterial small subunit ribosomal RNA", at positions 524 to 776 of the family's 1533-position model. The record is from RNAcentral.
UACGGGGGGGGCAAGCGUUGUUCGGAAUUACUGGGCGUAAAGGGCUCGUAGGCGGCCAACUAAGUCAGACGUGAAAUCCCCAGGCUCAACCUGGGAACUGCGUCUGAUACUGGAUGGCUUGAAUUCGGGAGAGGGAUGCAGAAUUCCAGGUGUAGCGGUGAAAUGCGUAGAUAUCUGGAGGAAUACCGGUGGCGAAGGCGGCAUCCUGGACCGACAUUGACGCUGAGGAGCGAGAGCUAGGGGAGCAAACGGG